CGUAUACAAUCUACCUUUAACUGAGGGAUAGCCCAGAGAAAUUUGGAUUAAUACCUCAUAGUAUUAUAAUUAGGCAUCUUUUUAUAAUUAAAACUUCGGUGGUUAAAGAUGAGUAUGCGUACUAUUAGCUAGUUGGUAAGGUAAAAGCUUACCAAGGCAACGAUAGUUAGGGGGCCUGAAAGGGUGAUCCCCCACACUGGUACUGAGACACGGACCAGACUCCUACGGGAGGCAGCAGUGAGGAAUAUUGCACAAUGGAGGAAACUCUGAUGCAGCCAUGCCGCGUGCAGGAAGAAUGCCCUAUGGGUUGUAAACUGCUUUUAUACAAGAAGAAACCUCGGUACGUGUACCGACUUGACGGUAUUGUAUGAAUAAGCACCGGCUAACUCCGUGCCAGCAGCCGCGGUAAUACGGAGGGUGCAAGCGUUAUCCGGAUUUAUUAGGUUUAAAGGGUCCGCAGGCGGAAUAUUAAGUCAGUGGUGAAAGCCUACAGCUCAACUGUAGAACUGCCAUUGAUACUGAUAUUCUUGAGUAUGGAUG
This 540-nucleotide ribosomal RNA is filed under the name uncultured Bacteroidota bacterium. RNAcentral describes it as "bacterial SSU rRNA". It matches the Rfam family "Bacterial small subunit ribosomal RNA", at positions 116 to 654 of the family's 1533-position model. The record is from RNAcentral. Lineage: Bacteria; Pseudomonadati; Bacteroidota.